This 74-nucleotide transfer RNA is filed under the name Cyanobacteria bacterium SZAS-4. RNAcentral's name for it is "tRNA-Trp". Lineage: Bacteria; Bacillati; Cyanobacteriota. The record is from RNAcentral.
GCGUCGAUGAGGUAACGGUAGCCUCUCAGUCUCCAAAACUGAUCGUCCUCGUUCGAAUCGAGGUCGGCGCGCCA